UACAGAGGUCCCAACCGUUGUUCGGAUUCAUUGGGCGUAAAGGGUGCGUAGGCGGCGGGGUAAGUCAGGUGUGAAAUCUCGGGGCUCAACCCCGAAACUGCACUUGAUACUGCCUCGCUUGAGUACUGGAGAGGAGACUGGAAUUUACGGUGUAGCAGUGAAAUGCGUAGAGAUCAUAAGGAAGACCAGUGGCGAAGGCGGGUCUCUGGACAGUUCCUGACACUGAGGCACGAAGGCCAGGGGAGCAAACGGG
RNAcentral lists this ribosomal RNA (253 nucleotides) under uncultured bacterium. RNAcentral describes it as "partial 16S ribosomal RNA". It matches the Rfam family "Bacterial small subunit ribosomal RNA", at positions 524 to 776 of the family's 1533-position model. The record is from RNAcentral.